RNAcentral lists this ribosomal RNA (1506 nucleotides) under uncultured prokaryote. RNAcentral's name for it is "partial 16S ribosomal RNA". It matches the Rfam family "Bacterial small subunit ribosomal RNA". The record is from RNAcentral.
AGAGUUUGAUUCUGGCUCAGAUUGAACGCUGGCGGUAUGCUUAACACAUGCAAGUCGAACGGUAACAGCAGAGCUUGCUCUGGCUGACGAGUGGCGGACGGGUGCGUAACGCGUGCCUAGGGAUCUGCCCAGUCGAGGGGGACAACAGUUGGAAAUUUGGAUUAAUACCGGAUACGCCCUACGGGGGAAAGUGGAGGAUCUUCGGACUUCACGCUAUUAGAUGGGCCUGCGUAUGAUUAGCUAGUUGGUGAGGUAAUGGCUCACCAAGGCAACGAUCUAUAGCUAGUUUGAGAGGAUUAUCAGCCACACUGGGACUGAGACACGGCCCAGACUCCUACGGGAGGCAGCAGUUGGGAAUAUUGCACAAUGGGCGAAAGCCUGAUGCAGCCAUACCUCGUGUGUGAAGAAGGCUCUAGGGUUGUAAAGCACUUUCAGUAGGGAGGAAAGGUUAUAGUUUAAUACGCUAUAGCUGUGACGUUACCUACAGAAGAAGGACCGGCUAACUCCGUGCCAGCAGCCGCGGUAAUACGGAGGGUCCGAGCGUUAAUCGGAAUUACUGGGCGUAAAGCGUACGCAGGCGGUUUGUUAAGCGAGAUGUGAAAGCCCCGGGCUCAACCUGGGAACUGCAUUUCGAACUGACAAACUAGAGUUUUGUAGAGGGUGGUAGAAUUUCAGGUGUAGCGGUGAAAUGCGUAGAGAUCUGAAGGAAUACCAGUGGCGAAGGCGGCCACCUGGACAAUAACUGACGCUCAUGUACGAAAGCGUGGGGAGAAACCGGGAUUAGAUACCCCGGUAGUCCACGCCGUAAACGAUGUCAACUAGCCGUUGGGAGACUUGACCUCUUAGUGGCGCCGCUAACGCAAUAAGUAGACCGCCUGGGGAGUACGGCCGCAAGGUUAAAACUCAAAUGAAUUGACGGGGGCCCGCACAAGCGGUGUAACAUGUGGUUCAAUUCGAUGCAACGCGAAGAACCUUACCUGGUCUUGACAUCCUACGAACUUACUAGAGGUAGUUUGGUGCCUUCGGGAACGUAGUGACAGGUGCUGCAUGGCUGUCGUCAGCUCGUGUUGUGAAAUGUUGGGUUAAGUCCCGUAACGAGCGCAACCCUUAUCCUUAUUUGCCAGCACGUAAUGGUGGGAACUCUAGGGAGACUGCCGGUGACAAACCGGAGGAAGGUGGGGACGACGUCAAGUCAUCAUGGCCCUUACGACCAGGGCUACACACGUGCUACAAUGGACGGUACAGAGGGUUGCCAAGCCGCGAGGUGGAGCUAAUCCCAUAAAACCGUUCGUAGUCCGGAUUGGAGUCUGCAACUCGACUCCAUGAAGUCGGAAUCGCUAGUAAUCGUGAAUCAGAAUGUCACGGUGAAUACGUUCCCGGGGCCUUGUACACACCGCCCGUCACACCAUGGGAGUGGAUUGCACCAGAAGUAGUUAGUCUAACCUUCGGGAGGACGAUUACCACGGUGUGGUUCAUGACUGGGGUGAAGUCGGAACAAGGUAGCCG